GAAAGCAAUAGAAGGGCUAGCUCAGAAUGAAGAUCCUACAGAAGAUGACUGGUAUGAGAUGAGAAAAA
This 68-nucleotide small RNA is filed under the name Arabidopsis thaliana (thale cress). RNAcentral's name for it is "ATSL201820". Lineage: Eukaryota; Viridiplantae; Streptophyta; Magnoliopsida; Brassicales; Brassicaceae. The record is from RNAcentral.